AUCCAGCUGACGAGUCCCAAAUAAAGACGAAACACGCAUCCUGAAU
RNAcentral lists this non-coding RNA (46 nucleotides) under Schistosoma mattheei. The record is from RNAcentral. Lineage: Eukaryota; Metazoa; Platyhelminthes; Trematoda; Strigeidida; Schistosomatidae.